CGGAUUUUUAAGUCAGUGGUGAAAGCCGACAGCUCAACUGUCGAACUGCCAUUGAUACUGGAAAUCUUGAGUACAAAUGAAGUAGGCGGAAUGAGUCAUGUAGCGGUGAAAUGCAUAGAUAUGACUCAGAGCACCGAUUGCGAAGGCAGCUUACUAACAUGUAACUGACGCUGAGGGACGAAAGCGUGGGGAGCGAACAGGAUUAGAUACCCUGGUAGUCCACGCCGUAAACGAUGACAACUAGCUGUUGGGAGACAAUGUCUUUCAGUGGCGCAGCUAACGCUUUAAGUUGUCCGCCUGGGGAGUACGGCCGCAAGGCUAAAACUCAAAUGAAUUGACGGGGACCCGCACAAGCGGUGGAGCAUGUGGUUUAAUUCGAUGCAACGCGAAAAACCUUACCUACUCUUGACAUACUUGGGAGCUCUUGUAAUGAGAGUGUACCUUUUGGAACCAAGAUACAGGUGCUGCAUGGCU
This 474-nucleotide ribosomal RNA is filed under the name uncultured bacterium. RNAcentral describes it as "bacterial SSU rRNA". It matches the Rfam family "Bacterial small subunit ribosomal RNA", at positions 576 to 1050 of the family's 1533-position model. The record is from RNAcentral.